AUCCAGACUCCUACGGGAGGCAGCAGUGGGGAAUAUUGCACAAUGGGGGAAACCCUGAUGCAGCAACGCCGCGUGAGUGAAGAAGUAUUUCGGUAUGUAAAGCUCUAUCAGCAGGGAAGAAGAUGACGGUACCUGAUUAAGAAGCCCCGGCUAACUACGUGCCAGCAGCCGCGGUAAUACGUAGGGGGCAAGCGUUAUCCGGAUUUACUGGGUGUAAAGGGAGCGUAGACGGCAGUGCAAGUCCGGAGUGAAAGCCCGGGGCUCAACCCUGGGACUGCUCUGGAAACUGUAAAGCUGGAGUGCGGGAGGGGCAGGCGGAAUUCCUGGUGUAGCGGUGAAAUGCGUAGAUAUCAGGAGGAACACCGGCGGCGAAGGCGGCCUGCUGGACCGUAACUGACGUUGAGGCUCGAAAGCGUGGGGAGCAAACAGGAUUAGAUACCCUAGUA
Molecule: ribosomal RNA, 446 nt
Filed under: uncultured bacterium
Lineage: Bacteria
Description: partial 16S ribosomal RNA
Rfam family: Bacterial small subunit ribosomal RNA
Source: RNAcentral